GACGAACUCUGGCGGCGUGCUUAACACAUGCAAGUCGAACGGAAAGGCCCUGCUUUUGUGGGGUGCUCGAGUGGCGAACGGGUGAGUAACACGUGAGUAACCUGCCCUUGACUUUGGGAUAACUUCAGGAAACUGGGGCUAAUACCGGAUAGGAGCUCCUGCUGCAUGGUGGGGGUUGGAAAGUUUCGGCGGUUGGGGAUGGACUCGCGGCUUAUCAGCUUGUUGGUGGGGUAGUGGCUUACCAAGGCUUUGACGGGUAGCCGGCCUGAGAGGGUGACCGGCCACAUUGGGACUGAGAUACGGCCCAGACUCCUACGGGAGGCAGCAGUGGGGAAUAUUGCACAAUGGGCGGAAGCCUGAUGCAGCAACGCCGCGUGCGGGAUGACGGCCUUCGGGUUGUGAACCGCUUUCGCCUGUGACGAAGCGUGAGUGACGGUAAUGGGUAAAGAAGCACCGGCUAACUACGUG
Molecule: ribosomal RNA, 468 nt
Filed under: uncultured bacterium
Lineage: Bacteria
Description: partial 16S ribosomal RNA
Rfam family: Bacterial small subunit ribosomal RNA
Source: RNAcentral